This is a long non-coding RNA of Gavialis gangeticus (Gharial), 2128 nucleotides long. RefSeq lists it as uncharacterized. The transcript is spliced from 3 exons. NCBI's taxonomy places the organism in Eukaryota, Metazoa, Chordata, Crocodylia, Gavialidae. The record is from RefSeq and is a predicted model, not a curated record.
CCUGCUCCCCUUCAAAAUCAUAUUUAAGUGAGAUUAUGUCAAAUUUCAAUGAUCGGAAAUGUCUUGCCCAAAAGCCAUUCCCACUGGAAAAAGUCAAAAGGGUUCCUGGCAUUAAAACGACCUUGCGUCAGUCCUGAUGAAAUUAGCAGAGCUGCAUUUUUAGAUACUUGCAAUGGAGGUACUUUGAUCACAGUGAAAAGAAGUGAUAGAUUUUUUUUUACUCCCCCAGCUGAACUGAAGUGUUCUGCUUUUCUAGCUGAGACUCCCAAGACCAACAUUUGCUUUAGCCUUUUUUCUCCCCCCCCCCGCCCCCACUUUUCUUUCAGUGCAAGCAAUGGGAAUUGCUAACCUUGGUCAAGAAAAAUUUCAUUUCCCCCAUCCUGCUAAACGGUUCUGGUCGACAUAUGUUUGUUAUCAGAGAGAGGUGCUAUGAACACAGAGCCAUUUUCUUAGCAGCUUUUUGACUGUAUGUUACCAUAGUCCCACACGGCAUUGGUCCUUUCCCGUUGGGAAGUCAUGAAUAAGAGACUAUGAAGCUUGCACGUCAGAUCUUCCUCAAUUAAUCCACCAUUAGCAUGUUUGGGAUCCACUACUGGAUGGUUAACAGCAGCUUUGGUAACUGUGUGCUGUCCAUGCCCAAUUAUGCUCUGCUAAAAAUGAACUCUGCAGACCAGCCUUCCCGAGCUGUCAGUGUCUCCCGUGUUCCUAUUUUAACGUUUGUGUGUAGUGGCAGGCGACAGAUGGUGUAGAUCAGAUCGAUUUGAUUGCAUUAGGCGAUUUUUUCUCUUCUCCCCCCGACUCCGUUUCUGGAAGCCCACAUCAGCUGAAAGGCGAUCGCCGGGGACUUGGAAAGCACCAGCAGCCGCCGAGGUGUGAAGGCAGCGGGGCACGGCCAGCCAGAGGCGCCGGGGUCCCUUCGCAGGGCUUGGUAACACAGCAGUCAGGCACCAGGAGAGAAAGCAGCUUGCCGCUGCCCACAGCCUCUUCCCCAGCGCGCAUCAGAUGACUCCCUGGUUUUCCACCCAGCUGGAGUCCUGCUUGAAACCUUGGAUUGAAAGGGUAAGCGCUUCUCUAGAGGUGGAUUUGUGUCAGUUUGCUUGGGGAGGUGGCGAGCGGCGAGAUCGCAGCGAGGCAGUCUUUGAACAGGAAUAAAUAUUUCCUAUCCCCCCUCCACCACCAUCACCACCCCCAUGCGAACCCCUCAAUCCGAGCAAGAUUCCUAACGGAGGGAUCUCCUGUCUCCCCACUCGCCGACCAUAUCAGUCCCUCCCUCCCCCCUGAAUCUGGCAACCGCGGGCAGCUCCCGAGCUCCGCGCCCCGUGGCUUAAUUGUUUCGAUGCUCUCCGUUCCCUCCCCCCGCAGCCCCGCAGCACCGCCAGGCCGGGGAGAGGGACCUGCCUUUGUACAUUUGUACAUCGCGAGGGGCAGUUUCCCGAGGCACUGAUCGCUGGGGGGAGGGUCCAGCACCCUCCGUGAUUACGGCUGGGAAGAGAGGAAGGUAGAGCCUCACAAACAUGGCUUGCGAGAAUCGAUGAACAAAGGUACUUAAUGCUGAGGCGAGCCUGGCUCAGGGCAGCCGCCGCGCUCAGAGGCGAAGGUGAAUCUGUUGCUUGCCAGCGCCAGCCCUUCCCAGCGCCCGGAGCGGAGGGCUGGGGAGAAGAGGACGCCAGACAGGCACAGAGGAAGAGAGCAGGGACUCCCCAGGACUGGAGAUCGGGCAGCCCUUGGACAUGGGGACGGGAUCCCUCGGUCACCCUGUGGAUGCUCCGCCUGCUCUAGGGGAAAUACAGUUAUGGAUUUACUGGCCCGGUGCAGCACUCCAGCGGCAGCGGCAGCAGCAGCUUUCUGACUCUCUUCGGUGACGGGUAUUCUUGGGUGGAUAAUACGGAUUACGUUGUUAUUGCUUAAGAAUACGCGUAGUCGAGGAGAGUACCGCGGCGGGCAGGCAGCGCCACCGCCCCAGCCCCAGCCCCAGCCCGGCAGCUGGCGCCUCAACUGCUAGAGUGGCCAAGGUAGCUCCUUUUUGCUCUUUUCCUACAUGCUUCGCUCUGUCUGUGUCUGUGCCCAGGGGACCCCGGCGAGGGGUGGGCGCCGGCAGCAGGGGGGCUCCAGGCGUCCCCCUCCCCCC